Molecule: ribosomal RNA, 465 nt
Filed under: uncultured bacterium
Lineage: Bacteria
Description: partial 16S ribosomal RNA
Rfam family: Bacterial small subunit ribosomal RNA
Source: RNAcentral
GACGAACGCUGGCGGCGUGCUUAACACAUGCAAGUCGAACGGAAAGGCCCCUUCGGGGGUACUCGAGUGGCGAACAGGUGAGUAACACGUGAGUAACCUGCCCUUGACUUCGGGAUAACUUCAGGAAACUGGGGCUAAUACCGGAUAGGAAUCCUUGCUGCAUGGUGGGGGUUGGAAAGCUUCGGCGGUUUUGGAUGGACUCGCGGCUUAUCAGCUUGUUGGUGGGGUAGUGGCUUACCAAGGCUUUGACGGGUAGCCAGCCUGAGAGGGCGACCGGCCACAUUGGGACUGAGAUACGGCCCAGACUCCUACGGGAGGCAGCAGUGGGGAAUAUUGCACAAUGGGCGGAAGCCUGAUGCAGCAACGCCGCGUGCGGGAUGACGGCCUUCGGGUUGUAAACCGCUUUCAGCAGGGGCGAAGCUUGUGGUGACGGUACCUGCAGAAGAAGCACCGGCUAACUACGUG